AUUGAACGCUGGCGGAAUGCUUUACACAUGCAAGUCGAACGGCAGCACGGGGGCGAACCCUCGGUGGCGAGUGGCGAACGGGUGAGUAACACAUCGGAACGUGCCCACGUCGUGGGGGAGUAACGUAGCGAAAGCUACGCUAAUACCGCAUACGAACUCUGGUUGAAAGGCGGGGACGUCGCAAGGGCCUCGCGCGAUUGGAGCGGCCGAUGGCAGAUUAGGUAGUUGGUGGGUAAGGCCUACCAAGCCGACGAUCUGUAGCUGGUCUGAGAGGACGACCAGCCACACUGGGACUGAGACACGGCCCAGACUCCUACGGGAGGCAGCAGGUGGGGUAAUUUUGGACAAUGGGCGCAAGCCUGAUCCAGCCAUUCCGCGUGCAGGAUGAAGCCCUCGGGUUGUAAACUG
This 408-nucleotide ribosomal RNA is filed under the name uncultured bacterium. RNAcentral's name for it is "bacterial SSU rRNA". It matches the Rfam family "Bacterial small subunit ribosomal RNA", at positions 29 to 432 of the family's 1533-position model. The record is from RNAcentral.